Molecule: ribosomal RNA, 775 nt
Filed under: uncultured Neocallimastigales
Lineage: Eukaryota; Fungi; Neocallimastigomycota; Neocallimastigomycetes; Neocallimastigales
Description: partial large subunit ribosomal RNA
Rfam family: Eukaryotic large subunit ribosomal RNA
Source: RNAcentral
AUAUCAGUCAUGCAUAGCAUAUCAAUAAGCGGAGGAAAAGAAACUAACAAGGAUUCCCUUAGUAACGGCGAGUGAAGCGGGAAGAGCUCAAAUUUGAAAUCUUCAAGGUUUUACCUUGACGAAUUGUAGUUUAAAGAAGUGUUUUCUGUUGAAGUUUUGGUAAAAGUUCUUUGGAAUAGGACAUCAUAGAGGGUGAGAAUCCCGUAUUUGACCAUUACUUUCAGCUUUGUGAUACACUUUCAAAGAGUCGGAUUGUUUGGGAAUGCAGUCCAGAAUGGGUGGUAAAUUUCAUCUAAAGCUAAAUAUUGGCGAGAGACCGAUAGCGAACAAGUACCGUGAGGGAAAGAUGAAAAGAACUUUGAAAAGAGAGUUAAACAGUACGUGAAAUUGUCAAAAGGGAAGCGUUUGACACCAGUGUUGUUUUCUCGAAAAUCAAUUAAAAAGAGUUGGAUUUUGUGUUGUAUUGACUUUAUCAGCUUUCUUCACUCUUUUCCAGCUUUUUUUAAUGCACUUUUCGUUUAACAAGUCAACAUCAGUUUCUUUUGUUGUAAAAAGGUCAUUGGAAGGUGGCUUUCUCUUCGGAGAAAGUGUUUAUAGCCUUUGACUCAUGCAAUCGGAGAGACUGAGGUCUGCAGCGUAGAUCCUUCGGGGUUAGAUACAUUUGUGCUAAGUUAUAGCUUUUCAUAGACAACUUGUUGACUAUGUUUAGUCUUGUAGCUUACUCGCUUAUGCUAUUUUACCUACGCUUAGGAUGUUGAAUCUCUAUCACACACAG